This 434-nucleotide ribosomal RNA is filed under the name uncultured bacterium. Its description in RNAcentral is "partial 16S ribosomal RNA". It matches the Rfam family "Bacterial small subunit ribosomal RNA", at positions 29 to 507 of the family's 1533-position model. The record is from RNAcentral.
AGCGAACGCUGGCGGCAGGCCUAACACAUGCAAGUCGAACGAACCUUUCGGGGUUAGUGGCGGACGGGUGAGUAACACGUGGGAACGUGCCUUUAGGUUCGGAAUAACUCAGAGAAACUUGUGCUAAUACCGAAUGUGCCCUUCGGGGGAAAGAUUUAUCGCCUUUAGAGCGGCCCGCGUCUGAUUAGCUAGUUGGUUGAGGUAAUGGCUCACCAAGGCGACGAUCAGUAGCUGGUCUGAGAGGAUGAUCAGCCACAUUGGGACUGAGACACGGCCCAAACUCCUACGGGAGGCAGCAGUGGGGAAUCUUGCGCAAUGGGCGAAAGCCUGACGCAGCCAUGCCGCGUGAAUGAUGAAGGUCUUAGGAUUGUAAAAUUCUUUCACCGGGGACGAUAAUGACGGUACCCGGAGAAGAAGCCCCGGCUAACUUCGUG